AUACAUCGAAAACAAAGUAGUACCAAUCAUCAUGGCUAAGUUUGCUUCCAUCAUCACCCUUGUUUUCGCUGCUCUUGUUCUCUUUGCUGCUUUUGGUGAGUAAUCAUCUUAUCAUAUAUGAAAUAGUGUUAUAAAUCUUGUUUCAUUUAUUUUGAUAGUUAACCAUGAGAUAUGUAUACAUAUGCAGAAGCACCAUCGAUGGUGGAAGCACAGAAGUUGUGCGAGAGGUCAAGUGGGACAUGGUCCGGAGUUUGUGGAAACAAUAACGCAUGCAAGAAUCAGUGCAUUAACCUUGAGGGAGCAAAACAUGGAUCUUGCAACUAUCGAUUCCCAUACCACAGAUGUAUCUGUUACUUCCCAUGUUAAUCAACCAAACAUCUUUGGUGGUUAAUCACGUGUGUAUUUUACAUAAAAUAAGUCUGUGUUACUCUAUGAGUAACUUUAUGACAUGCAUGUUUAUGUUUUAAUGUUUGGUUGGACUUUGUUGUUAUAAUUCAUGUACCACCUAAGACUGCAUGCAGUUUCUUGUUUGGUUGGACUUUGUUGUUAUAAUUUAUGUACGACCUUUUUAAGACUAUAUUUUCUUGUUCGUAUUUGUCAGCAGCAGCCGUCACCCAACAGGACCACUCAUUUUUAUGUAUCGAAAUCGAAGUCAUAAAACUAAAGAACAUAAAGAAAAAAAAAGACACACGACCGUUAAAGACCGAAUAAGAAUAUGUCAAAAGAAAAAAAAAAUCAUCAUUCAUAGAAAAAAAUUUAUAUUCUAGGACGUUCACGUUAUAUCACCAUAGCCACGUCAAAACCCCAAUUUAAUAGUUUGAUCAGACAAUUAAUAGAGAGGGUUUUAUGACGGUACGUGGCAAGAGUUAGACAUCCAUUAUUUUUUGGAUUAAUAAGAAUUAUAGUACAUUUUCAAAAAAUAAUUGGGAAAAUAGUACAUAUAUUAUUUAUAAUUAUAAAAAUAGUCAUAUGGACCCACAAUAUGAGAUAGAAGAAAACAUGAGAUAGGAAAAACGAGAGAAAAUAAAAUGACAUGAGGGGCAAUUUUUUUUCUCUGGAUUUUGUUUUUUUUUUUCUUUUUUUUUUCUUUUUUUCUCUUACUUUUAUCACCCCAAAAUUUUUAUAACUAACAUACUAAUUUUUGUAAAAAUAAUAUCAAUAAUAUUUUUAACACAUAAAAAUGUUUUUUUCUCUAUAAUUUGAUAUGCCUUUUGCUAAUAAAUUUUAAAUUUUUUUAUAUAUAAAUAUUUAUUUGUAUAGUUUAGCAUAUGUACAAAUGUUUUUUUUACAAUAGUAUGUGUACAGACGUAUGUACAAAAAUAUCCAUACAUAAAUAUGUACAAACAUAUCCGUACAACUUAUUAAGUGUACGAAUAUAUGUAAAAAUUACUCAUUUUUAUCCGUACAGCUAGUAUAGUAUACCAAAAUAUGCAUAUUUAUAUAUAUUUGUACACUAAUAUGCUGUACGGAUGAUAUUGUGUAAUAAUAUUAUUAUUGUACAAAAACAUAAUUUUGUACGUAUGUACAAUAAAUAUGAUGUACGAAUUAUAUUAUAUAAUUAUUUUAAUGGCAGACUCGUAAAUACUAUGUUUUCUGAGUGUUUAAAUGUCCAUAAAAUAGUAGCAAAUAGUGAUAAUGUACUAGUUUCCUAAUUGUAAAUAGUGUUUGUACUAGUUUUAUAAUUAUUUUUUAAAAAUGUAAUACUUCUCCAACACACCCUUAUUUUUUUAAAAUUAUAUUUUAUUGUAGUUUCUAAUAUUGGGUAGAGAUUUUCAUAGUCUCUCAGUUAUAUUAUUUUAAUAGAUAUAUAAUUUACUUUUUACUAUUUAUUUAAAUUUUAAAUAACAAGAAAAGAUUAAAACCGAUCACAUGAUCUCUCGAAAAGUCUCAUUUGAGAAGUGGUUCUCAUAUCUCUUUUCAAUUUUUUGUUUUAUAUUGUUAAAAAAAAUGGGUGAAGCAAUUAAGAACAUAUAAACAAAAUUAUACUCAGACUCAAACGGAGGUGUCUAAAUUGCUAUAGAGAAUACUGGACGAGCUUUUACAUACAGCAGCCAUAUAUCGUUCUUUUACUUACUUCUUUUAUUUUUUGGUAUUCAUAUUUGUUUGUAUUUGGACUAACUUGUGCAUAUCAAACUAACGUAACGCACAAUAUAUAGCAUUUUGCUUAGGUACCCUGAAUUCAAAACUAAAAACAUGAAUCCUAAACUCUAAGAAAGUUACAUCUAAUCUAAAAAAGAGUUCUAAAUACAACAAAAAGAUGUAUUUUCUGAAUUUUAAAAAAUGGAUCGCUUAUAAUAUUUCCGUAAUUCCUUUGUGCUUUUAUUUUCCUUUGUAACGAAUUUACAGAUUAUACCUUAAGCUCUAUAUCCUCUAAUUUUUGAUGAAAUUCACCGUUAUGAUGAUAGUUAGAAAAUCUACCGCCGAUGAGAGCAACGCACUGAUGAAUCACAUAAUUUACGGUUAAAGGUGUCUCCCGGUGAAAUCUAAUGGCAAAAAAACUAAUAAGAACGGUUUCUUUGUUCUGCAAAUUAACUUGGCGGAACGAUGCUACGUACUCUUGAGAUCAACCAAACAAUAUGUUGAUACAUAUACACUUGCCUAACUGUCAAAAUAUCUGACAUGACAUAUAUCAAAGUACUCUUGUAACUACCGCUUGGUUAACAUCUUAUUUUCUUGAGUCUUGACCACAUCAGAUUAUGCCGCCUAUGUAUAAAUCAUUUGCUCAAAGCCAAAGCAGCCUACUUAGAUAUUAUCAGAAAAAAUAUGUGGUGGAGAAUAACCAGCAGCCAUCAACUAUGAAUAAGUCAAGUUCUUAUCUGUUAAUAUUAGCACUAGAAGACGCUUAGUGUUUAAUUUGUGGGGUUACGAUCUGUAGUUAUAGGAUGCACACAUAUACGACUAACUCACCAUCAUUUCAUUAUAAAUAGACUCUGAUCUUAAGCUUAAUUAGUUCAUCACACAACACAUCAAUACAUACAUACAUUGAAAACAACACAGUUUAAUAAUCAUCAUGGCUAAGUUUGCUUCCAUCAUCCCCCUUAUCUUCGCUGCUCUUGUUCUCUUUGCUGCUUUUGGUGAGUAAUCAUCUUUUUUUUUUAAUGGAAUUAUGGAAAUAAUGUUUUAAAUGUUAUUUUGAUAACUAACCAUGAGAAAUAUAUACACGUAUAUGCAGAAGCACCAUCGAUGGUGGAAGCACAGAAGUUGUGCGAGAGGUCAAGUGGGACUUGGUCCGGAGUCUGUGGAAACAAUAACGCAUGCAAGAAUCAGUGCAUUAACCUUGAGGGAGCAAAACAUGGAUCUUGCAACUAUCGAUUCCCAUACCACAGAUGUAUCUGUUACUUCCCAUGUUAAUCAACCAAAAAUCUUUGGUGGCUAAACGUGUGUGUAUUUUACAUAAAAUAAGUCUGUGUUACUCUCUAUGAGUAACUUUAUGACAUGCAUGUUUAUGUUUUAAUGUUUGGUUGGACUUUGUUGUUACAAUUUAUGUACGACGUUAUAAUUAAGACUCUGUUUCUUCUUGUUCGUAUUAGACCAGUAUUAAUUUGAUUACAGCAGCUGACACCCAACAGGACCACUAAUUUUCAUGUAUCGAAAACAUAAAGAACAGAAUUUUAAAAAAAAAACACACGACCGACCGUUACCUGACCGAAUUAGGAUGUGUCAAGAAAAAAAGAAAUUCCCAUUGAUAAAACAAAAUAAAACUUCUAUUCUAGGACGUUCACUUUAUUUCACUAUAGCCAAGUGAAAACCCCAAUUUAAUAGUUUAAUCAGACUACCAAAUUCAUGAAUUGUCGAGUAGUGAAAUGUUAAUUAAUUGAGAUUGUUGAUUUUUAUUUUAUUUUUUUGUCGUACGUAGUUUCUGAUAUUGUAUAGUAAACAAUAAUAGCAAUAAUGAAUAGAAGAAAAAAAUGAUUGGGGGUGUUACAAAUAAGAACAUCUGAAUAUAUAAACAAAAUUAUACUCUUAAGCGGAGGUGUCGGUAACGCUAUAGAAAACGGGACGAGCUUUUCCUUUUACUUCCUUCUUUUACUACGUACUGCUGUUUUUACGUAUUCAAUUUUUUUGUUUUUUUGUCUGUAUUUGGACUAACUUGUUCAUCAAAAUAACGCACAAUAUAUAUAUAGCAUCUUGCUUACGUACCUUGAAUUCAAAAUUAAAAACAUGAACCUUAAACUCUCUAAAUGUAAUCUAAUCUAAGAAUAGUUCGAAACCAUACAAAAAAAAAUACGAUUUUCCUCAAUUUAAAAGAAUUCAAUCAUUAUUUUUAGUUCAAAAACAAAAUUUGAUCGCUUAUAUAAUCUAAUUUCGUAAUUACUUUAUAAACUUUUUUCUUAGUUAGUUGGUAUUUUCAGUUAUUUUGCCAAUUUCUUUGUUAACGAAUUUACGAAUCAUACCUUAAGCUCUAUAUUCACCAAUUUUGUAUGAAAUUCACCGUUACCUUCUUCUGAUAGUUAGAAAAACUACCGCCGGCGAGAGCAGCGUAAUGGAUCACAUAAUUUACGGUUAAAGGUGUUUCCUGGUGUGUUUUAACUUGCGAAAAAUCUAGCGAGAAGAGUUUCUUUUGUUCUGCAAACUUGGCAAAACGAUGUUACUCUAGAGAUCAACCAAAACAUAUCUUGAUAUACACUUUUGGUUCAAAGGAGCAGUUCCAAAACAUGCAUUUAUGAUAUGGUUUACACAUCUAAUUAUCGGCUUCCCACUAAAACAAGGCUCAAAAGUCUGGGACUGCAAAUUGAGCAAACUAGUUGCUGCCUUUGUGGUUUGUUCCCUGAAACUUGAGAGUUGAGACCAUAUGUUCCCUUCAUUGUGAAGUUAGCGAUGGCCUCUUGUCAAAACCACCAACAAAGAUUUGGAUACAACUCGUUUAUUUUCCACACUUGGAGUGCGUUCUCAGCUUGGUUAGACUUUAAAGACUCAACAUCACCUCUUUUUUUUUUGGCAGGAAACAAUUAAUCUUUUGUAACUUUUACAAACUUUUUCAUCUAAUGAAAAUUCACAUUUCUGUUAAAGGAAAAAAAAAAACUGUGAAAAUAUCUGACACAUCAAAAUAAUCGUGUAAAUUAACUACCGCUUGGUUAUAUUACGAUCUUAUUUUCUUGAGUCUUGACCACAUCAGAUUAAGCAGCCGCCUAUGUAAACGAUGUAUGAUUAGCUCAAAACCAAAGCAGCCACCAAGAUAUUAUUAUUAGAGAAAAAUAUGUGGUGGAGAAUAACCAGCCAUCAACUAUGAAAAAGUCAAGUUUUUAUCAUGCUAAUACCAAUCAGCUGCUAGAAGACACUUAGUGUUUAAUUUGUGGGGUUACGAAACGUGAUUAUACGAUGCCCAAAUAGAUCGACUAAUUAACUCACCAUCGUUUCACUAUAAAUAGAAGUUGAUCUUUAGCUUAUUUCAUCACACAACACAUACAUACACAUACAUUGAAAACAAGAUAGUAAAAAUCAACAUGGCUAAGUUUGCUUCCAUUAUCACCCUUCUCUUCGCUGCUCUUGUUCUCUUUGCUGCUUUUGGUGAGUAAUCAUCUUAUCAUAUCAAUGAAAAUGUGUGUUUAAAUGUUAUUUUCAUUUAUUUGGAUAACUAACCAUGAGAAAUAUAUGCAUGCAUGAUGCAUCUGUAGAAGCACCGGCAAUGGUAAACGCACAGAAGUUGUGCGAGAGGUCAAGUGGGACUUGGUCCGGAGUCUGCGGAAACAACAACGCUUGCAAGAAUCAGUGCAUUAACCUUGAGGGAGCAAAACAUGGAUCUUGCAAUUAUCGAUUCCCAUACCACAGAUGUAUCUGUUACUUCCCAUGUUAAUCAACCAAACAUCUUCGGUGGUUAAACGUGUGUGCAUUUUACAUAAAAUAAGUCUACGUCACUUUACGAGUGACUCUUAUGAGUAUGACAUGCAUCUUUCUGUUUUAAUGUUCGGUGGUG
RNAcentral lists this long non-coding RNA (5914 nucleotides) under Capsella rubella. Its description in RNAcentral is "long non-coding RNA (CRUB_LNC004464)". Lineage: Eukaryota; Viridiplantae; Streptophyta; Magnoliopsida; Brassicales; Brassicaceae. The record is from RNAcentral.